AUGCCAUUCAGAUUGUGCAACGCGCCAGCCACGUUUCAGUGCCUGAUGAACACAGUCUUCGGCCGUUAUGUCCAUAAGUUCAUAAUCAUUUUCCUGGAUGACAUCUUGGUUUUCAGUUUCGACCUGCAGGAACACGAACAACACCUGCGCCUCACCUUGGACCUCCUUCGUGAGCACCAGCUGUUUGCCAAGGCCAGCAAGUGUUCGUUCGCGCAAACCAGUAUUGAGUACCUCGGGCAUGUGAUCUCACAAGACGGCGUUGCCACAGACACAAGCAAGACCAGUGCUAUGCAGGCCUGGCCCGUGCCCUCGACACCAACCGAGCUGCGGGAUUCUUGGGAUUGA
Molecule: ribosomal RNA, 345 nt
Filed under: Triticum aestivum (bread wheat)
Lineage: Eukaryota; Viridiplantae; Streptophyta; Magnoliopsida; Poales; Poaceae
Description: partial small subunit ribosomal RNA
Source: RNAcentral